GUGGGGAAUAUUGGGCAAUGGGCGCAAGCCUGACCCAGCAACGCCGCGUGAAGGAAGAAGGCUUUCGGGUUGUAAACUUCUUUUACCAGGGACGAAACAAAUGACGGUACCUGGUGAAUAAGCCACGGCUAACUACGUGCCAGCAGCCGCGGUAAUACGUAGGUGGCGAGCGUUAUCCGGAUUUAUUGGGCGUAAAGGGAGUGUAGGCGGGACAGCACGUCAGAUGUGAAAACCAGAGGCUCAACCUCUGGCCUGCAUUUGAAACUGUGGUUCUUGAGUGUCGGAGAGGUAAUCGGAAUUCCGUGUGUAGCGGUGAAAUGCGUAGAUAUACGGAGGAACACCAGUGGCGAAGGCGGAUUACUGGACGAUAACUGACGCUGAGGCGCGAAAGCGUGGGGAGCAAACAGGAUUAGAAACCCUGGUAGUCC
Molecule: ribosomal RNA, 428 nt
Filed under: uncultured bacterium
Lineage: Bacteria
Description: partial 16S ribosomal RNA
Rfam family: Bacterial small subunit ribosomal RNA
Source: RNAcentral